AGAAAAUAGUAUAGUGGGAGUACGGGGGGUUUUGAGCCCUCUGGUGCAGGUUCGUGUCCUGUUUUUCUA
This 69-nucleotide transfer RNA is filed under the name Plestiodon stimpsonii. Its description in RNAcentral is "partial tRNA-Gln". It matches the Rfam family "tRNA". Rfam says of the family: Transfer RNA (tRNA) molecules are approximately 80 nucleotides in length. Their secondary structure includes four short double-helical elements and three loops (D, anti-codon, and T loops). Further hydrogen bonds mediate the characteristic L-shaped molecular structure. tRNAs have two regions of fundamental functional importance: the anti-codon, which is responsible for specific mRNA codon recognition, and the 3' end, to which the tRNAs corresponding amino acid is attached (by aminoacyl-tRNA synthetases). tRNAs cope with the degeneracy of the genetic code in two manners: having more than one tRNA (with a specific anti-codon) for a particular amino acid; and 'wobble' base-pairing, i.e. permitting non-standard base-pairing at the 3rd anti-codon position. Lineage: Eukaryota; Metazoa; Chordata; Lepidosauria; Squamata; Scincidae. The record is from RNAcentral.